Molecule: long non-coding RNA, 360 nt
Organism: Mesocricetus auratus (golden hamster)
Lineage: Eukaryota; Metazoa; Chordata; Mammalia; Rodentia; Cricetidae
Exons: 4
Source: RefSeq, a predicted model, not a curated record
CAGACUAUCUUGGUAAACUAAUUCCCUGUUCCUCUGGAUGUUAUGGUCUCUCUGCCCCUCCUCAGCUGUGUUCCCCAAGCUUCAGGAAUCAUGGUGAAAGAAUGGAAAGUAAGAUUGUAAGAUCCACAAUAUUAAUGACUACAAGAAAAUAGUUCUUUGGACACAAUGAAGGUUUACAUGUGAACUCACUGUUGAGGCAUCAUAGGCAAGUCUGGAACAAAAGCCAAGAAGGCCUGUGAAGGUAGGAGAUGAAAAGUCUCCAAACAAACCUAAAGGAGUCUUGAAAAUUCUGCUCACAUCUAAGAGACCUGUCAAGCUAAGGCAUUAGCUUGUAAAUCCAAUAAAAUCUCAAACCUCUCA